GACGAACGCUGGCGGCGUGCUUAACACAUGCAAGUCGAACGGACAGGCCCUGCUUUUGUGGGGUGCUCGAGUGGCGAACGGGUGAGUAACACGUGAGUAACCUGCCCUUGUCUUUGGGAUAACUUCAGGAAACUGGGGCUAAUACCGGAUAGGAGCUCCUGCUGCAUGGUGGGGGUUGGAAAGUUUCGGCGGUUGGGGAUGGACUCGCGGCUUAUCAGCUUGUUGGUGGGGUAGUGGCUUACCAAGGCUUUGACGGGUAGCCGGCCUGAGAGGGUGACCGGCCACAAUGGGACUGAGAUACGGCCCAGACGCCUACGGGAGGCAGCAGGCGGGAAUAUGGCACAGUGGGCGGAAGCCUGAUGCAGCAACGCCGCGUGCGGGAUGACGGCCUUCGGGUGGUAAACCGCUGUCGCCUGUGACGAAGCGUGAGUGACGGUAAUGGGUAAAGAAGCACCGGCUAACUACGUG
RNAcentral lists this ribosomal RNA (468 nucleotides) under uncultured bacterium. Its description in RNAcentral is "partial 16S ribosomal RNA". It matches the Rfam family "Bacterial small subunit ribosomal RNA", at positions 28 to 507 of the family's 1533-position model. The record is from RNAcentral.